CGCAUCUGUGCAUGCAGCAUAUCAAUAAGCGGAGGAAAAGAAACUAACAAGGAUUCCCCUUAGUAACGGCGAGUGAAGCGGGAAGAGCUCAAAUUUGAAAUCUUCAAGGUUUUACCUUGACGAAUUGUAGUUUAAAGAAGUGUUUUCUGUUGAAGUUUUGGUAAAAGUUCUUUGGAAUAGGACAUCAUAGAGGGUGAGAAUCCCGUAUUUGACCAUUAUUUUCAGCUGUGUGAUACACUUUCAAAGAGUCGGAUUGUUUGGGAAUGCAGUCCAAAAUGGGUGGUAAAUUUCAUCUAAAGCUAAAUAUUGGCGAGAGACCGAUAGCGAACAAGUACCGUGAGGGAAAGAUGAAAAGAACUUUGAAAAGAGAGUUAAACAGUACGUGAAAUUGUCAAGAGGGAAGCGUUUGACACCAGUGUUGUUUUCUCGAAAAUCAAUUAAAAAGAGUUUGAUUUUGUUGUGUAUUGACCUUAACAGCUUGCAUUUCAAUUUUCUUGCUUUUUUUAAUGCACUUUUCGUUUAACAAGUCAACAUCAGUUUCUUUUGUUGUAAAAAGGUCAUUGGAAGGUGGCUUUCUUUUCGGAGAAAGUGUUUAUAGCCUUUGACUCCUGCAAUCGGAGAGACUGAGGUCUGCAGCGUAGAUCCUUCGGGGUUAGAUACAUUUGUGCUAAGUUAUAGCUUUUUAUAGACAACUUGUUGACUAUGAUUAGUCUUGUAGCUUACUCGCUUAUGCUAUUUUACCUACGCUUAGGAUGUUGACACACGCGCGUGCUCG
Molecule: ribosomal RNA, 775 nt
Filed under: uncultured Neocallimastigales
Lineage: Eukaryota; Fungi; Neocallimastigomycota; Neocallimastigomycetes; Neocallimastigales
Description: partial large subunit ribosomal RNA
Rfam family: Eukaryotic large subunit ribosomal RNA
Source: RNAcentral